This 330-nucleotide unclassified non-coding RNA is filed under the name soil metagenome. RNAcentral's name for it is "partial contains 5.8S ribosomal RNA, internal transcribed spacer 2, and large subunit ribosomal RNA". The stretch from base 1 to 120 matches the Rfam family "5.8S ribosomal RNA", at positions 35 to 154 of the family's 154-position model. The record is from RNAcentral.
GAUGAAGAACGUAGCGAAAUGCGAUAAGUAAUGUGAAUUGCAGAAUUCAGUGAAUCAUCGAAUCUUUGAACGCACAUUGCGCCCGCCAGUAUUCUGGCGGGCAUGCCUGUUCGAGCGUCAUUUCAACCAUCAAGCCCCAGGCUUGUGUUGGGGGCCUGCAGCUGCUGCAGCCCCCUAAAAGCAGUGGCGGACUCGCUGUCAUACCGAGCGCAGUAGUUACAUCUCGCUCUGGGCAUGGCGGCGGGCACCUGCCGUAAAACACUCUUUCUAAGGUUGACCUCGGAUCAGGUAGGAAUACCCGCUGAACUUAAGCAUAUCAAUAGCGGAGGA